UGGGGAAUUUUGGACAAUGGGGGAAACCCUGAUCCAGCCAUCCCGCGUGUGCGAUGAAGGCCUUCGGGUUGUAAAGCACUUUUGGCAGGAAAGAAACGUCGCGGGUUAAUACCCCGCGAAACUGACGGUACCUGCAGAAUAAGCACCGGCUAACUACGUGCCAGCAGCCGCGGUAAUACGUAGGGUGCAAGCGUUAAUCGGAAUUACUGGGCGUAAAGCGUGCGCAGGCGGUUCGGAAAGAAAGAUGUGAAAUCCCAGAGCUUAACUUUGGAACUGCAUUUUUAACUACCGGGCUAGAGUGUGUCAGAGGGAGGUGGAAUUCCGCGUGUAGCAGUGAAAUGCGUAGAUAUGCGGAGGAACACCGAUGGCGAAGGCAGCCUCCUGGGAUAACACUGACGCUCAUGCACGAAAGCGUGGGGAGCAAACAGGAUUAGAUACCCUGGUAGUCCACGCCCUAAACGAUGUCAACUAGCUGUUGGGGCUUCGGGCCUUGGUAGCGCAGCUAACGCGUGAAGUUGA
RNAcentral lists this ribosomal RNA (519 nucleotides) under uncultured bacterium. RNAcentral describes it as "partial 16S ribosomal RNA". It matches the Rfam family "Bacterial small subunit ribosomal RNA", at positions 355 to 868 of the family's 1533-position model. The record is from RNAcentral.